Molecule: long non-coding RNA, 3068 nt
Organism: Callithrix jacchus (white-tufted-ear marmoset)
Lineage: Eukaryota; Metazoa; Chordata; Mammalia; Primates; Cebidae
Source: Ensembl
CUAUUAAGAAUAUAUGAAGAUAUCAAUGUUGAACAAAGUUCACAAAUAAAUCAUCCUGUGUCUAGUUAGCCUGAUGCCAUCUUGCCCAAAAGUAUCAUCACUGAAAAAAAUCAUAUCAACCCUGUCAAUCCAUAAAGACAGGAAUAGUUAUUCAAAUAAACUUGGCAUGUCUUGGCAAAUCACUCAAAUGUUAUGAAUACAUCCAAGAAUGCUUUGGCAGAGAGAGCAGGGUUUAAAUCUGCAGCCAUUUCAGAGUAUAUUGCAAACAAUCAUCAUCUGAUAUUUAAAUUUCUUGAACUUUAAAUAGUCUUAUCUAAUGCUGCUGCCUGGACUCCAUUCUUCAUGCUGUCAGACAAACUAUAUUCUUCAGGCAGUAACAUAUACCAAGGGUGAAAUAGAUGCUUGUCAGUCUCUGAAUCUUGUAAGUGUUCAUUACAUGUUGAUUAUUGAUUAAACCAUCAAACAGGAAGAGUAGUGGCAAAGUGGUAUGAGCGCUGGAGUUGACCUGAAUCCUGUUUCCCUUUUACUAGUUUUAUAAGUUGGACAAGUAAUUUUUCCAUCCUUAGUUUCUUUAUCUUUAAAAUGAAGCUAAUUAUACCUCAGAGGAUUGUUGCAAGGAUUAAAUGAGAUAUUGCAGGCAAAGUGCUAAGCUAACACGUGGCAUGGGGGAGACCUCAAUAGAUGUUAGCUAUUAUACUUAAUUCAUCAAAUUUUUUUUCUUAGAUGUGAAAUGAACUGCAGAGAGCACAGUUUUACAAGCACAGCUUGAGUCUGAGUUCUAGCUACUGCCCAGUUGUGUGACCUCGGCCAAUCUGUUCCAGACUCAGAACAGAGCGACUCAGACUUGGAACACAGCGACUCAGAAUCAGGACACAGUGACUCAGACUCGGGACACAGCGACUCAGACUCGGAAGUUCCACGUGGCUGAAGAGACCUCAAAACUUACAAUCCUGGAAGAAGGUGAAGGGGAAGCAAGGCAUGUCUUACAUGGUGAUGAGAAAGAAAAAGAAAGCGAGAGAGAGGAGGUGCCACACUUUAAAACCAUCAUCUUACAUGAGAUCUCACUCAUGAUCAGGAAAACAUCAGGGUGAAACCACCCCCAAGAUCCAGUUACUUCUUAACAAGUCCCUCCCUCAACACAUGGGGAUUACAAUUCAAGAUGACAUUUGAGUGGGGACACAGAACCAAACCAUAUCAGCAUGGUUAUACAUGCUAGAGACAGAACAGAAAGAAAAAUAGCAAAAACAUAGUGCUCCUACUCUUUAUAUCCUAAUGCCUUUAAGAAUGUAAUGUGAUGAAUGGCUAGAGGCAUAUUAUACCAUGAGGUACAUCUGAAGAUAGAAAUCAAAUGUGCAGAGCAGAAAAAGAGAAGAAAUUACAAUAUUUGAUGAUUUCAUGGAACAUUAAUUCAAGCCAUAAUUCCAACCAGAUUCUAUCACAGCUUCUAAACUUUUUCACCUGAGAACAUAAACUCUUUUUGUGUUUAAGCUUGUGUAUUUGAGUCUCCAAAAGUAGUAAUCAAAUCUGAAAGUUCCUGAUACCCAUUUUUCAAACUGUAUCUCACGUUUAAUUUCAUCCGGAUGAUACUCCUGUGGUCUCCCAGUGACCCCUGACCACUUUGCUCUUAUGUUAUCUCUUGGUGCUCUGGACAACUAAUGGGUCUAUCCACAACAUUCAUUAGCCAUUUUCAUAUGCUCUCUUGCAUUGUUAGUUAUCUUUUAAUAUAUAGAUUUUAACUAUACUGUAUAUAGCUUCAAAUAUACUGUAAAUAAGACCAAGUGAAAUGUCUGUUUAUUCUUGGUAUUCCUUAGGGAAAUGUUAAUAUCCUAUAGUAAAUAUUUGAUAAACAAGUAAAUGAAUAAAUAUUUCUUUGUUACUUGAUUUAGUACCAUAUGGUAGGUAGAUAUUCAUCUAAGAAGAAUUCUCUCUGGGGUUUCUGCCCAUAAUUUACCCUAGAUUAUCUGGGUGAGAUUUUUCUAAUCUAAUCAGUAUCAUUUCAAUUCAUUCGAAUAAAGUAUAAGCAUGUACUUCACAGCAAGCAGGGAAUACAGUAUUAUCAUGUAUUUCACAGCAAGCAAGGAUCCCCCUCAGUGAUCUUGCACAUCAAAAGUGGAGACUCAUAUGUAAUGAAUAUUCACAAUAAAGGAUAAAACUAUUAUGUUAGAUGGAGUCAGAAUACAGUGGGAAAAGAGAGCUGGGAACCAACUUGAGUUUAAAGUGAGAAAAGACCUCUUUGAAGAUGUGAUAUUUAAGCUGAAAUUCAAUAGUGGGUGUUUUUAUUAUUUUGAUUCUGAUCUGAUGUAGCACAACACAAGAUGCAGCACAGUUCAUAUGGCUGCAGACAUCCAAGAACCACAAGCAUGUCCAUAGGCAUGUUUACCAUGCUGAGCAUAAAUGCAACAAAAAAAAAAAGGAAGAGAAAAAGAUACUAUGUGAUGUAAGAGAAACUAGUUGGAAGUUUUUUGGAUUAAGAGGGAGGAAAAGAGCAGGAAGAGGAGAAAAAGGAGGUGGGGGGAGAAAAAAGAGGCAGAGAAAGAGAAGAAGAGGAUAAAAAAGAAAAGAAGGAGAAGUUUAAGAAGAUACCUCUAAAAUAGUCACGAUACAAAUUGAACUGAGGACAAAGUUCAAACAUGACAGCCUCUGAUCUCUUCCAGAUUUUUGUCUAGAUGUGUUUAUUAAUAAGUUACUAAACUAUGAAGGGCACAUAAAAGCUCUAUUGAGAUAUAAUUGAUAUAUAAUAACUUGGCCACAUGUAAAUACACAAUUUGAUUAGUUUUGAAGCACUACAUAUAUAUGUGUGUACCCAUGAAACUAUCACAACAAUGAAGUUAAUGAGCAUAUAUAUCACUUUCAAAUGUUUCUUAGUAUCCCUUUGAAGUCCCUCAUCCAUGUCACCAGGCAAUUAAUAAGUUUUCUGUAAACUAAUUUGAGUUUUCUAGAAUUUUACAUAAACAGAAUUAUACCAUAUACAUUCUUGUCUCUGGAAAAACACUGUCAUAUUUUUCACUUGGAAUAAUUAUUCUGAAUUUAAUCCAAGUUGUUGCAGAAAUUAAUCCAAGUUUUUAUUG